UGCUAGACGAGUUUGAUCCUGGCUCAGAACGAACGCUGGCGGCGCGCCUAACACAUGCAAGUCGAACGAGAAUCCGGGGGCAACCCGGUAGUAAAGUGGCAAACGGGUGAGGAAUACAUGGGUAACCUACCCUUGAGAAGGGAAUAACCCGCCGAAAGGUGAGCUAAUACCCUAUACGCUAUCUUUUUUUCGAAAAGGAUAGGAAAGCCGGGUCGAGGACCUGGUACUCAAGGAGGGGCUCAUGUCCUAUCAGCUUGUUGGUGGGGUAACGGCCUACCAAGGCUACGACGGGUAGCUGGUCUGAGAGGAUGAUCAGCCACACUGGCACUGAGAUACGGGCCAGACUCCUACGGGAGGCAGCAGUGAGGAAUAUUGCGCAAUGGGCGAAAGCCUGACGCAGCGACGCCGCGUGGGGGAUGAAGGUUUUCGGAUUGUAAACCCCUUUCAUGAGGAAGAUAAAGUAGGGUAACCACUUAGACGGUACCUCAAGAAGAAGCCACGGCUAACUUCGUG
This 513-nucleotide ribosomal RNA is filed under the name uncultured bacterium. Its description in RNAcentral is "bacterial SSU rRNA". It matches the Rfam family "Bacterial small subunit ribosomal RNA", at positions 1 to 507 of the family's 1533-position model. The record is from RNAcentral.